AACGAACGCUGGCGGCAGGCCUAACACAUGCAAGUCGAGCGAGAUCUUCGGGUCUAGCGGCGGACGGGUGAGUAACGCGUGGGAACGUGCCCUUUGCUUCGGAAUAGCCCCUGGAAACGGGGAGUAAUACCGGAUGUGCCCUAUUGGGGAAAGAUUUAUCGGCAAAGGAUCGGCCCGCGUUGGAUUAGGUAGUUGGUGGGGUAAUGGCCUACCAAGCCGACGAUCCAUAGCUGGUUUGAGAGGAUGAUCAGCCACACUGGGACUGAGACACGGCCCAGACUCCUACGGGAGGCAGCAGUGGGGAAUCUUAGACAAUGGGCGCAAGCCUGAUCUAGCCAUGCCGCGUGAGCGAUGAAGGCCUUAGGGUUGUAAAGCUCUUUCAGGGGGGAAGAUAAUGACUGUACCCUCAGAAGAAGCCCCGGCUAACUCCGUGCCAGCAGCCGCGGUAAUGUCAGUG
RNAcentral lists this ribosomal RNA (457 nucleotides) under uncultured bacterium. RNAcentral describes it as "bacterial SSU rRNA". It matches the Rfam family "Bacterial small subunit ribosomal RNA", at positions 29 to 530 of the family's 1533-position model. The record is from RNAcentral.